Molecule: ribosomal RNA, 406 nt
Filed under: uncultured bacterium
Lineage: Bacteria
Description: partial 16S ribosomal RNA
Rfam family: Bacterial small subunit ribosomal RNA
Source: RNAcentral
AUUGAACGCUGGCGGCAGGCCUAACACAUGCAAGUCGAACGAGUGGCGGACGGGUGAGUCAUGUCUGGAAAACUGCCUGACGGAGGGGGAUAACUACUGGAAACGGUAGAUAAUACCGCAUACCAUCAGAUGUGCCCAGAUGGGUUGAGCUUGUUGGUGGGGUAACGGCUCACCAAGGCGACGAUCCCUAGCUGGGAUGAGAGGAGGACCAGCUGCACUCGAACUGAGACACGGUCCAGACUCCUACGGUAGGCAGCAGAGGGGAAUAUUGGACAUUGGGCGCGAGCCUGAUGCAGCCAUGCCGCGUGUAUGAAGAAGGCGUUAGGGUUGUAAAGUACUUUCAGCGGGGAGGCGUUACCCGCAGAAGAAGCACCGGCUAACUCCGUGCCAGCAGCCGCGGUAAUAC